AUAAUAAUUUUACAUUUAUUGUUAGACUUAUGUAGAUAAUAUUAUCUAUAAUAAUUUCAUAUUUUUAUUUAUAAUAAAAACAACUACAUUCUUAGAUAUAUCAUGAUAUUUUUAAUAUUAUUUCUAAAUUUUUCAUAUAAAUUAAUAUUUUACAUUAUUAAUAUGUUUGAUAUGUAAUGUAAUAUUUCAUCAAACGCCAAAACGAUUGAUGUUAAGUAUAUAAAGAAACUAUUAUGGAUUAUCUAGCAGUAUAUCAUAGAAACUAAUUAGAUUGGGUAUAUACCGAUUAAGUUCUUGGAUAAAUCAAGUUUGUAAACGAAGUUAAUUGAAAUAUCUUAGUAACUUCAGGAAAAUAAAUCAAAUGAGAUUUUCCUGUUAAUAAAUAUAACAGGAAAACAGCCUUUAAAGUAAAAUGGAUAAACUCUGUUUGAAUAUAGGGAAACCUUUCUCUAAGGCUAAAUAUGAUAUACUAGCAAUAGUGAAUAGUACCGUAAGGGAAAGAUUUGAAAUAGUAGGUUUAUAAGCAGCUCAAAUUUAACUUAACAAGUAAACGAGAGCGUACCUUUUGCAUAAUGGGUCAGCAAGUUAAUACUAGGUGCGAGAUUAAGAAAUUAAACCUUAGUCCUAGAUAAACCAAUUAUUAAAUAAUGAAUAAGUACCUAAUAUUAGACCCGAAGCCUAGUGAUCUUACCAUGAUCAGGGUUAUAAAAGCUCGAACAGGUUAUCGUUGUAAAGAUAUCUGAAGAAUUGUGGUAAGUUAGUGAAAGACAAAUCUGACUAGGAUAGCUGGUUUUCUGCGAAACCUAUAUAAGUAGGUAAUUUAAAUUAUAUCAUUACAGGUACAGAAUUGUGAUCUCAGAUAAACUUUAAAGAUGUACUGCGUGUUAUAGCGAAGUAUAUUUUUAGUUUAUAUACAUUGGGGGAUCGUGAAGAUUUUAUCAGUGAGAAUUUGCUCUCGGAAGGGUAAUGAUAAAUAUUAAAUUGUCGGACAUAGUACGAUAAGGUUGUAUGUCUAAAGGGAAACAGCCCAGAACAAGAGUUAAGGUUCCAAAAUUAUUGUUAAGUGAAAUUAAGGAAGUUUUUUUCAAAUACAACCAGGAAAUAGGCUUAGAAGCGGCCAUUUUUUAAAGAUCUCGUAACAGAGCACUGGUUUAUAUAUUAAUAAAGUCACUUAAGAUUAAGUUAAACGCGCCGAAAAUUUAACGGAUCUAAACAAUAUACCGAAACCUUGUGCAUAGAUAAAAAUUCUAUUAAAAAAAGUAUAAAUAUCUAUGAGGUAGCAGAACGUUGAGUUGUUUAAAAUUUAGUAUGAUUCAUACUAAUAGCUAUAUUACCGGAAUGUUUUAGUAGCAUCCACUAUUAAGAUGUUUUAGUAAUAUGUAAAUGAUCUCAAGUGAUAAUGCUGACAUGAGUAACGAAAAAGGGAUCUCCCCUCGCCUUAAGCUUAUGGUAUUUUUUUAAUCACGGCCCCUAAAUUUAUUAAUCUUACCUAAAGGAUUAAAUGAUGGGAAAGUAUUUGUUUAUUUUAACUUUAUAUUACAACCAUUCAGGUUCUGGAAAAAAAUAUAUUAUACUAAACCGUACCUAAAUACUACCACAAGUAAGCAAGUAGAGUAUACAAAGGCGUUUGAGAUAACAAUCAUUAAGGAACUCGGCAAAUUGACACCGUAACUUCGGGAUAAGGUGUGCCAUUAUAUUAUGACAUAAUAAAAUUAUCAUAGAUAUAAUAGGAGACAUAGAAUGGUGUUGUACGACUGUUUAAUUAAAACAAAGCACUUUGCAUAAGAUAUAAAUCAAAGUAUUGAGUGUGAUUUCUGCCCGAUGUUGGCUGGUUAACGGAUUUUCUUAGCUAAAUAAUACGCUAGGUUUUAAAGGAAACCCCAAUCAAUGGCGGCCUUACCGAUGAGGGUCCUAAGGUAGCGGAAUACCCUGGCCGUUAAAUGCGGUCUUGCAUGAAUGAUUUAACGAUACAACAGCUGUCUCAAUGAUUGUCUCAGUGAAAUUGGAAUAACUGUGCAGAUACAGUUUUCUCCUAGUUAGACGAGAAGACCCUAUGCAGCUUUACUAUUUGUAGUUAUUGAAUAUGAUAUAACAAGUUGUAGAGUAUAAGGUAAUUGAUAAUUUAACAUUGAAACACCUUUACUUAGUGUAUCAUAUUAUUAGAAAGGAGGUAUUAAUAUCCUCUAAGUCUAGUAACUUAACUUUAAGAAACAAUAUAUAGUUUAACAACUAUAUAAGUGACAUUGACUAUUAGAUAGUUUAUGCGGGGCACAGAUCCCAUAAAUAGUACCUGGGUGUAUCCAAAGUUAAUAUUGUAAGUUUGUUUUUUACAAUUUAAUAUAUCUGUUAUUUUGUGAACCUUUUUCACGAGUAUUAACUAAUAUAUUAUAUACUUUAAUAUGUAAUAAAUUUCUUAAAUUUAUUCAAUUAUAAUUCUAUUAAGUUAGAUUUAUUAUAUUUUUUAAGUAAGGUUUUUACUAUAUGGAAAAUAGAUGUUAAUGGAUCAUUAUUAAAUAUUAUGGUCUAAUUUGUUUUACAGUAUCACUGUAAAAUGAUUAUUAAUUUAACUGGAAAAGUUUAAUGGCUUAACCUUGCUUUACUGUUUGACUUACAUGUCUAUCAGUCGCGUAAGCGGGGCAUACGAUCACAAGAUGCAGAAAGGAAAGGUCUUGGAUUUUUGAAAAAGCUACGCUAGGGAUAACAGGCUAAUUGCGCCAGAGAGUACAAAUUGAGUGCGCAGUUUGGCACCUCGAUGUCGGCUUAGCUCAUCCACAUGAAUGUAGGAAUCAUGAAGGGUACGACUGUUCGUCGGUUAAAGAGCUACACGAGCUGGGUUAAAUACGUCGUGAGACAGUAUGGUUUCUAUCUUCUAGGAGUAAUUAGAGUAAAACAAGGAUAG
This 2899-nucleotide ribosomal RNA is filed under the name Zasmidium citrigriseum. Its description in RNAcentral is "bacterial LSU rRNA". It matches the Rfam family "Bacterial large subunit ribosomal RNA". The record is from RNAcentral. Lineage: Eukaryota; Fungi; Ascomycota; Dothideomycetes; Mycosphaerellales; Mycosphaerellaceae.